CCUAAAAUCUAGCUCACCCACCACAUGAUAAAUUAACCCUCUAACCCACGACCCAACAAAUAAAACAUUUUUAUAUUAUAGUAUAGGAGAUGGAAAAAUUUCUAAACGCUUCAGAUAAAGUACCGCAAGGGAAUGAUGAAAUAAUAAUGAAAUAAAUUUAAAGCCUAAGACAGCAGAGACACUCCCUCGUACCUUUUGUAUCAUGGUCUAGCUAGUCUAACCAAGCAAAAAGAAACUUUUAGUUUGACAUCCCGAAACUAAGCGAGCUACUUCAAGACAGCCCAUAGGGCCAACCCGUCUCUGUUGCAAAAGAGUGGGAAGAUCUUCAAGUAGAAGUGACAUGCCUACCGAGCUUAGAGAUAGCUGGUUGCUCAGAAAAAGAGUUUUAGCUCUACCUUAAGUUUCAUCUGUUAUACAAAACAAACUACUAAACUUAAGAGCUAUUCAAAUAAGGCACAGCUUAUUUGAACUAGGAUUCAGCCUCAAAUACUGGGUAAAUAAGGGAUUUCUAAACAAAGUAGGCCUAGAAGCAGCCACCUUUUAAAUAGCGUUAAAGCUUAAUUAUUUUAUUUCCCAAAAUUCCAUACCCCCCCCACAACCCUUCAUCACUACUGAGCCAUUUUAUAUACUUAUAAAAAUUAUUAUGCUAGAACUAGUAACAAGAAACUGCCCUUCUCCAAAAUGCAAAUGUACACCAAAACGGACAACACAUUGAUAAUUAACGUAAAUGAACUUAACAUAACAACCUUCACUAGAAAACCCUAUGUACCUCAACGUUAACCUUACACCAGAGCAUUACCGGAAAGAUUAAAAGAGAAAGAAGGAACUCGGCAAAUUUUAGCCCCGCCUGUUUACCAAAAACAUCGCCUCUUGCCUCCCAUAAGAGGUCCAGCCUGCCCGGUGACAAAGUUUAACGGCCGCGGUACCCUGACCGUGCGAAGGUAGCAUAAUCACUUGUUCUUUAAAUAGGGACUUGUAUCAAUGGCAUCACGAGGGCUGUACUGUCUCCUUUCUCUAAUCAGUGAAACUGAUCCCCCCGUGAAGAAGCGGGGAUUUAGCUAUAAGACGAGAAGACCCCAUGGAGCUUUAAGCCUAAUAUUUAGCCAACGCCGACAUACCUUCUAAGUUAUAGAGGCCCUAAAUACCCGCUUUAGGUUGGGGGGACCGCGGAGUAUAACCAAACCUCCAUGACUAAUGGGCCUCGCCCUUAUCCACGAACUACGCCUCUAAGAAUCAACAAACUGAUGUUUGAUGACCCGAAACAUUCGAUCAACGAACCAAGUUACCCUGGGGAUAACAGCGCAAUCCACUUCAAGAGUCCAUAUCAACAAGUGGGUUUACGACCUCGAUGUUGGAUCAGGGUAUCCUAGUGGUGCAGUC
Molecule: ribosomal RNA, 1380 nt
Filed under: Pulchrana picturata
Lineage: Eukaryota; Metazoa; Chordata; Amphibia; Anura; Ranidae
Description: partial 16S ribosomal RNA
Rfam family: Bacterial large subunit ribosomal RNA
Source: RNAcentral